CAGUGGCCCUGGGGGUCUCCUCCAGCUCCACCUCAUGACACCCCGUGCUGCUGCGUGACUGCUCCUGGUGCCAAGGCCACCGCUGCCAUGAGUCUGAAUGGCUAAUGCUGAGAUUAGCAGGGCCUCCCUUCUACUGGCCUGUCCUCCUGGCUCUCCUCCCUUUUGCCUCUUCUGGAUUUCAGGGAGCUUUUCUGUGCCAAACCAGGAAUCACAGACAUGCAGGGGCAAGAGGGUCUACUCUAGCACGGAUUAAGACGACCUCCUAAAGCCAUCUUAUGCCCAAGUAAAUAAGUAUCCAAUAAACAGACAAUAUCUCAACAGAAAAACAGCACCCACUGAACUCAAGUGACCUGCAACUUUCCUGAAAACCUAUAUGGCAAGGACAGACAAUAAAGCCAGCUAGAGAAUGAA
This 411-nucleotide long non-coding RNA is filed under the name Homo sapiens (human). Its description in RNAcentral is "OSBPL10 antisense RNA 1". Lineage: Eukaryota; Metazoa; Chordata; Mammalia; Primates; Hominidae. The record is from RNAcentral.